Molecule: long non-coding RNA, 200 nt
Filed under: Amborella trichopoda
Lineage: Eukaryota; Viridiplantae; Streptophyta; Magnoliopsida; Amborellales; Amborellaceae
Description: long non-coding RNA (ATRI_LNC003304)
Source: RNAcentral
CCUAAACAAGGUAUUUAGAAUUGCACCUUUUAUUUCCCUAAAUAACAUUGCAAAGUUAAAAAAUCGUGAGGCCAAUAUUCUUGGGCCUUUAACAAGUCCAGAAAAUACAACAAGAUAAAGGUGAGAGCCUCUUACAACUAUAAUAAAAAUGAGGUGGCAUGUCACAUGUUUUAGUUUCAAACAAAUAAAUAAUGACUUAU